This is a long non-coding RNA of Bos taurus (domestic cattle), 1193 nucleotides long. The record is from Ensembl. NCBI's taxonomy places the organism in Eukaryota, Metazoa, Chordata, Mammalia, Artiodactyla, Bovidae.
GUAGGAAACCCCUUUACUUGUUACCUUAGCAACUAAAUUAACUAACUUGUAAACAAGGUACCACCAGGCUCUUCUCAUCUCCGGUCCAAGCACACCUUUCAGAUCUUUUAAUCACACAAUGCCUUGCCUAACUUGUUGGUUCUUUCCAUAGAUCAAAGAAGUAGAGAUGAAGAAUAAGUAACUAACAGAUGACCAGACCUCUUCUCUCGCUUCCCCUUCAGUAAUCUCAUGAACAAACGGUGUGACCAAACUGUGAACAAGAUAGAACAUAGAGCAAGGUCACAAAAAGCCCAUGAGCCUGCAUGCAGUGGAGGAUGGCAGCGACACUCAGCCCCCAUUUCGGUGAUUAACUUGAGUUACUUCCCUUCCUCCCUUUAAAGCUUUCAUGACCGAGAAGAAUCUUAGAAGGAGGUUUUGGGGGAACAUUGAGUGCCCCAUCUCCCCAGAUUGCCGGCAUUCUGUUUAAAGGCACUUUUCCUUUCUGUCAACAUCUGUGAAUAUUGAUUUUGUAAGUGAUUGUGACUUUAUAACUCUUGAGAAGCCAGGCAAAACCACUUAUGAGAGAAGGAAAAGAAUAAGAAAACAAAAAAUCUUAGAAAAUGUGAUUUCUCCCUGGAAGCCUUUCUGUCUUUAUGCCAUGGAGAAUAGUUGAACCAUCAAAAAAUCCAUUUAUAAUUAGUGAAACCAGGAGCUUGGGGGAAUAAACUGAACAAAGGCAAGAAUGGCAAAUCUUGAUACAUUUUGCAAAAGAUGAAUGAAUAAAGAAAAUGUGGCAUAUACUACAUGCAAUGGAAUAUUAUUCAGCCUCAACAAGAAACCUUGGACCACUGGACAAAACCUCGAGAGGGAUUGUCAAAAGAUCCUCUGACCAGUCCUGAGGAAAUCUGGUACACUGAUGGAAGCAGCAUUGUCUUAGAUGGAAAAAGAAGAGCCAGGAACAUGGAGCUGGUCAUACCCAAAUUAAACCAGUCAAGACCAUGGAUUGGGUGACUGUUCAAUAGAUGACCAUUUGACAUCAGAGGGCCAAAAACUUCACCCUCAGAUCAUGUUAAUGACACCAUUUUCUGAACAUACAUCCCAUGAAGAAGCAUGUAACCCAGAUACAUCUGUGCAGAACCCCAAUUACUUUAAGUUUUUCUUCAGUCAUCUUUCCCCACACCUCAGACCACCCUGCUUCCUUAUCCCACGAGUAU